AUGGCUCAGGAUGAACGCUAGCUACAGGCUUAACACAUGCAAGUCGAGGGGCAGCAUGAGAUUAGCUUGCUAAUCUUGAUGGCGACCGGCGCACGGGUGAGUAACGCGUAUCCAACCUUCCCCCUACUCAGGCAUAGCCCGGUGAAAACCGGAUUAACUCCUGAUAGUUUCACUAGAUGGCAUCUGACGGUGAAUAAAGCUCAGCGGUAAGGGAUGGGGAUGCGUCUGAUUAGCUUGUUGGCGGGUAACGCCACCAAGGCGACGAUCAGUAGGGGUUCUGAGAGGAAGGUCCCCCACAUUGGAACUGAGACACGGUCCAAACUCCUACGGGAGGCAGCAGUGAGGAAUAUUGGUCAAUGGGCGCGAGCCUGAACCAGCCAAGUAGCGUGCAGGAAUGACGGCCCUAUGGGUUGUAAACUGCUUUUGUAUGGGAAUAAAGUCAGGGACGUGUCCCUGUUUGCAUGUACCAUAAGAAUAAGGACCGGCUAAUUCCGUGCCAGCAGCUGC
RNAcentral lists this ribosomal RNA (507 nucleotides) under uncultured bacterium. Its description in RNAcentral is "bacterial SSU rRNA". It matches the Rfam family "Bacterial small subunit ribosomal RNA", at positions 19 to 518 of the family's 1533-position model. The record is from RNAcentral.